RNAcentral lists this ribosomal RNA (440 nucleotides) under uncultured bacterium. RNAcentral describes it as "bacterial SSU rRNA". It matches the Rfam family "Bacterial small subunit ribosomal RNA", at positions 338 to 795 of the family's 1533-position model. The record is from RNAcentral.
CCUACGGGUGGCUGCAGUAGGGAAUAUUGCACAAUGAACGAAAGUUUGACGCAGCGAUGCCGCGUGGACGAUGAAGGCCUUCGGGUCGUAAAGCACUUUCGCCAGGGAUGAUAAUGACAGUACCUGGUAAAGAAACCCCGGCUAACUCCGUGCCAGCAGCCGCGGUAAUACGGAGGGGGUUAGCGUUGUUCGGAAUUACUGGGCGUAAAGCGUACGUAGGCGGAUCAGAAAGUAGGGGGUGAAAUCCCAGGGCUCAACCCUGGAACUGCCUCCUAAACUCCUGGUCUUGAGUUCGAGAGAGGUGAGUGGAAUUCCAAGUGUAGAGGUGAAAUUCGUAGAUAUUUGGAGGAACACCAGUGGCGAAGGCGGCUCACUGGCUCGAUACUGACGCUGAGGUACGAAAGUGUGGGGAGCAAACAGGAUUAGAUACCCUGGUAGUC